UUAGAGCGAGGAGGCCAGCGACGAACAGGCUCCUGCGCAAAAGUGCGAUCCCAGCGAAUAACCAGAGUGACCCGAAAGGGUUUUUUGAAACGGACGGAGAACGGUUGUGCGAAGGCAAGAGUUUCUGAGCGGAAACGCCGAGGUCGAAGACCGGUAAACCAAAAGUCGACAGACAUCCACACACGGAAUCUACAUCUGGAGCAAACUAAGACCUCAGCGGUUCUCCUCUUGCACGGCUUCCCACAGACAGAUCGGCCUUCCAACCCUCCAGGCUGGAGAUCCGCAAGCAAGUGUCGUACUUAUUAUAGGCGACGAGGGACGUGGAAACUUUUCACUGUACACCAUUAACUACAGACAUUCUUAUGAGCUCUAACGGAGAAGAUGUUAAUCUGAAUGGAAUGAAUAAGAAUGAUGUACUUACAGAACCCAAGGAAUAUGAUGUUAAAUAAGGUCCCUUCCUAUGAAUCUACAUGUCAUACCAAUAUAUAUAGUAAACGAGGAAAAUCAUACCAAUCUUUGCGCAAAUGGUUUGCUUAAACAAAAUAAGAAUAUGCUUUAAGCCAUUUUUUAGUAACAAAUUGUAAAAAAUGCAUAUUUUUAUCAAAUAACAAACACUAAGUAGCCAAAGCCGCAGUUUUUGGAGUUAUAAUAAAUCAACGAUUUUUUGCUGAAAAACGGUUGCUAGUAACGGAGUAACCUCGCUUUAACGCAUCAUAAAACUUAUAUUCAAUCAUUUUUUCCAAGCAUAUUUUUCUUCAAUUUAAACAAACUGUCAGAAAUCUCAAAUAUAUUCCAAAUUUUAUUACUGUUCACCCCGUAGUUAGGGAAAUAUGACGGUAUACGCGCGCGCGCCCACACACACAGCCACACGCACGCACGCACACACACACGUGCACACACACGCAGACAUCCGCACGGAAAUUAUCUAAAAACAUGUGAUUCCAACUCCAAACAACUCAAAAUACGUUUGUAUGAAGUUUUAGCGAAACUGCCAAUUUUGCUAUUACAAAACUUCGUCUAAUAGGAAGCAAAAGCAUAAAGUUUUAUGCAAAUUGUAAAUUAAUACUAAUUUCAAUUACUUUUCC
Molecule: long non-coding RNA, 1085 nt
Organism: Nasonia vitripennis (jewel wasp)
Lineage: Eukaryota; Metazoa; Arthropoda; Insecta; Hymenoptera; Pteromalidae
Exons: 4
Source: RefSeq, a predicted model, not a curated record